Molecule: ribosomal RNA, 403 nt
Filed under: uncultured bacterium
Lineage: Bacteria
Description: bacterial SSU rRNA
Rfam family: Bacterial small subunit ribosomal RNA
Source: RNAcentral
CGGGAAUCUUGGGCAAUGGGCGGAAGCCUGACCCAGCGACGCCGCGUGAGGGAAGAAGGCCUUCGGGUCGUAAACCUCUGUCAUGGGGGACGAAGGAAGUGACGGUACCCCAAGAGGAAGCCCCUGCUAACUACGUGCCAGCAGCCGCGGUAAUACGUAGGGGGCGAGCGUUGUCCGGAGUUAUUGGGCGUAAAGGGCGUGUAGGCGGCCUGUUAAGUCAGGUGUGAAAUUUCAGGGCUUAACCCUGAAACUGCGUUUGAAACUGGCAGGCUUGAGGACAGGAGAGGGAAGUGGAAUUCCCGGUGUAGCGGUGGAAUGCGUAGAUAUCGGGAGGAACACCAGUGGCGAAGGCGGCUUCCUGGACUGUACCUGACGCUGAGGCGCGAAAGCUAGGGGAGCAAAC